This 835-nucleotide ribosomal RNA is filed under the name uncultured bacterium. RNAcentral describes it as "bacterial SSU rRNA". It matches the Rfam family "Bacterial small subunit ribosomal RNA", at positions 61 to 912 of the family's 1533-position model. The record is from RNAcentral.
GUCGACGAACCCGACCUUCGGGUCAUAUGGGUGAGUGGCGAACGGGUGAGUAACACGUGAGAAACCCACCCCGAAGUUUGGAAUAACUCAGGGAAACUUGAGCUAAUACCAAAUGCCCUCUCUGGAUCGAAUGGUCUGUUGAGGAAAGAUUUAUCGCUUCGGGACGGUCUCGCGGCCUAUCAGCUUGUUGGUGAGGUAACGGCUCACCAAGGCAUCGACGGGUAGCUAGUCUGAGAGGACGAAUAGCCACACUGGGACUGAGACACGGCCCAGACUUCUACGGAAGGCAGCAGUGGGGAAUCUUGCACAAUGGGCGAAAGCCUGAUGCAGCGACGCCGCGUGGGGGAUGAAGGCCCUAGGGUCGUAAACCCCUUUCAGUGGGGACGAAACUGACGGUACCCACAGAAGAAGGUCCGGCCAACUACGUGCCAGCAGCCGCGGUAAGACGUAGGGACCGAGCGUUGUCCGGAUUUAUUGGGCGUAAAGAGCUCGUAGGCGGUUGCGUAAGUCGGAUGUGAAAGCUCGAGGCUCAACCUCGAGAUGCCAUCCGAUACUGCGCUGACUUGAAUCCAGUAGGGGAGUGUGGAAUUUGUUGUGUAGCGGUGAAAUGCGCAGAUAUAACAAGGAACACCUAUGGCGAAGGCAGCACUCUGGGCUGGUAUUGACGCUGAGGAGCGAAAGCAUGGGUAGCAAACAGGAUUAGAUACCCUGGUAGUCCAUGCCGUAAACGGUGGGCACUAGGUGUGGGGACUUUCAACGGUUUCCGUGCCGAAGCUAACGCAUUAAGUGCCCCGCCUGGGGAGUACGGCCGCAAGGCUAAAACUCAAAGGAAUUG